GAAAUCGACCAGCUCAACUGGUCGGCGUCCGGUGGAAACUACACAGCUUGGGGCCGAGAGACUCAACGGGUACGUCCGGGGUAGGAGUGAAAUCCUGUAAUCCUGGACGGACCACCAAUGGGGAAACCACGUUGAGAGACCGGACCCGACAGUGAGGGACGAAAGCUAGGGUCUCGAACCGGAUUAGAUACCCGGGUAGUCCUGGCUGUAAACAAUGCUCGCUAGGUAUGUCACGCGCCAUGAGCACGUGAUGUGCCGUAGUGAAGACGAUAAGCGAGCCGCCUGGGAAGUACGUCCGCAAGGAUGAAACUUAAAGGAAUUGGCGGGGGAGCACCACAACCGGAGGAGCCUGCGGUUUAAUUGGACUCAACGCCGGACAUCUCACCGGUCCCGACAGUAGUAAUGACAGUCAGGUUGACGACUUUACUCGACGCUACUGAGAGGAGGUGCAUGGCCGCCGUCAGCUCGUACCGUGAGGCGUCCUGUUAAGUCAGGCAACGAGCGAGACCCGCACUUCUAGUUGCCAGCAAUACCCUUGAGGUAGUUGGGUACACUAGGAGGACUGCCAUUGCUAAAAUGGAGGAAGGAACGGGCAACGGUAGGUCAGUAUGCCCCGAAUGGACCGGGCAACACGCGGGCUACAAUGGCUCUGACAGUGGGAUGCAACGCCGAGAGGCGACGCUAAUCUCCAAACGGAGUCGUAGUUCGGAUUGCGGGCUGAAACCCGCCCGCAUG
RNAcentral lists this ribosomal RNA (735 nucleotides) under uncultured Halobacteria archaeon. RNAcentral describes it as "bacterial SSU rRNA". It matches the Rfam family "Archaeal small subunit ribosomal RNA", at positions 546 to 1278 of the family's 1478-position model. The record is from RNAcentral. Lineage: Archaea; Methanobacteriati; Methanobacteriota; Halobacteria.